Long non-coding RNA from Oncorhynchus tshawytscha (Chinook salmon), 2251 nucleotides. Lineage: Eukaryota; Metazoa; Chordata; Actinopteri; Salmoniformes; Salmonidae. The record is from Ensembl.
CCUGCUGAAGAGAUACCAUACACACAGUCUGUAGUUUACUGCCCUGCUGAAGAGAUACCAUACACACAGUCUGUAGUUUACUGCCCUGCUGAAGAGAUACCAUACACACAGUCUGUAGUUUACUGCCCUGCUGAAGAGAUACCAUACACACAGUCUGUAGUUUACUGCCCUGCUGAAGAGAUACCAUACACACAGUCUGUAGUUUACUGCCCUGCUGAAGAGAUACCAUACACACAGUCUGUAGUUUACUGCCCUGCUGAAGAGAUUCUUUAAAGCUGCAAUCAGCAGUUGAAACAAAAAACAAAGCCUUUUCCCCUCCACUGUUUUGCUAAAAAGCUGAGUAAUGGGGCCGGAGAAAUGUGACCACUCUCCAUUUCAUAGACAGAGCUGUAGAUACAAGGACUGAUUGUCUAAUACAACACCAUGAUAGUUUGAACCGUGUUCUGAGGCUAUUCACUUCCUUUGUUUAGGCAUAUUGGAGAAAAACAAGCUGAUAUUUUGAGUGUCACAGUUGACCUAAGCGCAUGAGGCAAUUUAUUUUACCUUUAUUUAACUGGGCGAGUCAGUUAAGAACAAACUCGUAUUUACAGUGACGGCCCAGGAACAGUGGGGUUAACUGCCUUUUUCAGGGGCAGAAAGACAGAUUUUUACCUCUUCAGCUUAGGGAUUCGAUCUAGCAACCUUUCGGUUACUGGCCCAACGCUCCAACCACUAGUUUACCUGCCACUGACCAGUUAUAUUCUUCAAGAAUCAAUGGAUACACCUGUAUAUCAUUCAUUUAUAAGUCCAAAAAUGGAUGUGUCUACUGCAGAUUGUCUCUCUAAGAUGAGGUGACAUGUUCUUCAGUAUAAACCUAAAGAGAGAUUCCACAGCUGUGAUUAGGAUGACUGUGCUGACGGAGGAUACAGGGGGAGACGAGGGAGGGGGGGCGAGGAGGUGUCCUAUUACCCAUGAUCCUCCUGUCUCAUCGCCAUCACUCAGGGUCUAGGUCUGUUGGUACAUGCCCUUCCUUCCUUCCCAGCGUCCCUCAUCCACAACGCUCCAAUUCACCUCUCAGCUGCCACUCAGCGGCUUUUAAACACAUUCUAACACACAUCAAAGGAACCACUUCUCCUUGAGGAGCUCAAACACUUCAGGAGACUCGGACCGCAGAAAAGGAGGAGGUCUGGGAGACUCUGACCGCAGGAAAGGAGGAGGUCUGGGAGACUCGGACCGCAGAAAAGGAGGUCUGGGAGACUCGGACCGCAGAAAAGGAGGAGAUCUGGGAGACUCGAACCGCAGAAAAGGAGGAGGUCUGGGAGACUCGGACCGCAGAAAAGGAGGAGGUCUGGGAGACUCGGACCGCAGAAAAGGAGGUCUGGGAGACUCGGACCGCAGAAAAGGAGGUCUGGGAGACUCGGACCGCAGAAAAGGAGGAGGUCUGCUAUGGAUUCUUUAACAUCAGAAAUAGACGUUAAAAUGACAAGACUCUUGAAUACGGACACUGAAUCUUAGAGUGUUCAGUUUACCUUCAUGAUGAGUGCAAGAGCAGUAUUAAUUCAUAUUCACAAUGAUGACCAUGUUAUCUGAGGGUUAGUGCUAGUGUUAGGUUUAGGCUUAGGCUUAGGUUUAGGCUUAGGUCUAGGCUUAGGCUUAGGUUUAGGCUUAGGGAUAUGUGACGUCAAAGUUGUAAACUUUAUGAUGAGUGCAAGUGCAUAUUAAUUCAUAUUAACAAGGAUGACCAUGUUAUCUGAGGGUUAGUGCUAGUGUUAAGUUUAGGUUUAGGCUUAAGGUUAGGUUUAUUGUUAGGCUUAGGCUUAGGUUUAAGGUUAGGGUUAGGCUUAGGCUUAGGUUUAGGAUUAGGGUUAGGUUUAAGGUUAGGUUUAGGUUUAGGGUUAGGUUUAAGGUUAGGUUUAUUGUUAGGCUUAGGUUUAGGGUUAGGCUUAGGCUUAGGUUAAAGGUUAGGUUUAUUGUUAGGCUUAGGGUUAUGUGAUGUCUAAGUUGUAUAAUUGUGUAUAUUCUAUGAACUACUGCCAUUACAUAAUAACGAGGGUUGAUUGUUUCUGAGUGGUGUGAGCAGACCCCAGUGUGAGGUCGUGUAGAGUCGCCCCACAGGAGGCCAUCGUCCUGUAAUCAAUACCAAUCCAAACCAAUACUGGAUCAAUACCAGGACCACCUGAGAGACUCAACACACCACUGCCUUGUCAGUCCUUUAGUUCUGCUGCUUUAAUCAUCUGUCUACACCUGACGCUGUUUGUCUUUCUCACCACUG